UUCCGAAUUCUUCACUAAGUUGAACAAGGAUGUCGACAUUUUGAAACCUUGAGUCCUCCAUUCCAAACUCUCCUGUAUAAAGGGCAAACUCGCUGACACAAAGUAUGCCGAUGGCACAAAGAACACUGAAACACAACAAGGCAGAAUAAAAGCUUGUUUCCAGAGGAAGAAAAAUCACAAGGGUCCAUGGAAGUGGCAAAAUUUACCAUUCCUACUUCAACACACUUGAGAAACAUUUUCAACUGAGAACUUAAUGUGGUUUGUAAGGCCACAAGACACUAUUACACUGGCCUUUCUGAAAUUUAAAGCACAUCAAAAAAUGCCUUUAAAAAAAGCUUUACUUUAGGCUGAACAGAAUUAGACACUCUAGGAGAAACAAGAGCAUGCAGCAAGAAUUAGAAAAGCCACAGACUGAGCUACAGAUACUUGGCUAUUCAGCCCUACAAUGAUGAGGUUUCUUCCUGGGGAUGUGCUUUGAAAUAAAAGUAACUUUGGAAUUUA
Chinchilla lanigera (long-tailed chinchilla) is the source of this 501-nucleotide long non-coding RNA. RefSeq lists it as uncharacterized. The record is from RefSeq and is a predicted model, not a curated record. The transcript is spliced from 2 exons. NCBI's taxonomy places the organism in Eukaryota, Metazoa, Chordata, Mammalia, Rodentia, Chinchillidae.